CUACUAUUCACUUUUCCUUUUUUCAUUAGUUGCAGGUGUUUCAGGCUUUAUAAUGACAUUAGUACUGGUACUCAUGGUUACGUCAUCAACAGGACUUCUAAGACGUUCGUAUUUUGA
Xenia sp. Carnegie-2017 is the source of this 117-nucleotide long non-coding RNA. RefSeq lists it as uncharacterized. The transcript has 3 exons. NCBI's taxonomy places the organism in Eukaryota, Metazoa, Cnidaria, Anthozoa, Malacalcyonacea, Xeniidae. The record is from RefSeq and is a predicted model, not a curated record.